Molecule: long non-coding RNA, 377 nt
Organism: Cercocebus atys (sooty mangabey)
Lineage: Eukaryota; Metazoa; Chordata; Mammalia; Primates; Cercopithecidae
Exons: 3
Source: RefSeq, a predicted model, not a curated record
AGUGAUCCUCCCACCACAGCCUCCUGAGCAGCUGGCACUAUAGAAAGGAACAAAUUGCUGAUGCAUGUUACAGUGUGGAUGAACCUCAAAAACAUUAUGCUAAGUAAAAGAAGCCAGAAUCCAGAUGCAAAAGACAACAUAUUAUAUGCUUCCAUUUAUAAGAACUGUCCAGAAAAGACAAAUCUCUAAAGAUGACUGAAACGGAGGGAAACUGAGGCACCCAGCCAACAGCAGUACCAACCACUCACUGCAUGUGGGAAUUUGUCCCUCUUGGACCUUCCAGCCCAAACGACCUUCUAGGUGACUGCAGCCACAUGAGCAAGUCCAGCAGAGGAAAUGCCCAGCCAAGCUAUGAGUCAAGAAAUGUAAGAAAUUGU